UGCCAGCCGCCGCGGUAAUACGGAGGGUGCAAGCGUUAUCCGGAAUCACUGGGUUUAAAGGGUGCGUAGGUGGCACAGUAAGUCAGAGGUGAAAGCCCGUCGCUUAACGAUGGAAAUGCCUUUGAUACUGUUGUGCUUGAAUCAGGUUGAGGUAAGUAGAAUGUGGCAUGUAGCGGUGAAAUGCAUAGAUAUGCCAUAGAACACCGAUUGCGAAGGCAGCUUACUAGGCCUGUAUUGACACUGAGGCACGAAAGCGUGGGGAGCGAACAGGAUUAGAUA
This 279-nucleotide ribosomal RNA is filed under the name uncultured bacterium. RNAcentral's name for it is "partial 16S ribosomal RNA". It matches the Rfam family "Bacterial small subunit ribosomal RNA", at positions 506 to 784 of the family's 1533-position model. The record is from RNAcentral.